AUGGAGUCCACGAAGCUCUCCGCGCUGCUGGUGCUCGCCAUGCUGGCGCUCUCCUCGCCCACCGUCGUCCUCGCGUGCUCCCCCGCCUCCGGGUGCAGCAGCACACCGUCCACCGGCACGCCCUCGGCCGGCGGCAUCACCAUCCCCGACGUCGGCGGUGUCGUUGGCACUGUCACUCCGGUCAUCGGCGGCGCUGUCCCCACCGUCGGCGGUGUCGUCGGCAAAGUCACCCCGGUCGUCGGCGGCGCCGUCCCUACAGUCGGCGGUGUUGUCGGCAAAGUCACCCCGGUCGUCGGCAAGGUCACGCCGGUCGUAGGCGGCGCCGUCCCUGCCGUCGGUGGCAUUGUCUCUCCUGUCGUCGGCACCGUAGGAGGCGUGGUUGGCGGCGUCCCCGUCGUCGGGGGAGUUGUCACUCCCGUCAUCAGUCCCGUCAUCGGCGUCGUGGCUCCCAUCAUCGGCGGCUCCCCGUCCCCCAAGAGCCGCCACGGCGGACGCAAGGCGUGCCCUCCCUCACCCCCGACCCCCACCCCGUCUCCCCCGACCCCGGCGCCGACUCCGCCGACGCCCACGCCGAGCCCCACGCCCUCCUCCGACACGUGCCCGAUCGACACGCUGAAGCUGGGCGUGUGCCUGGACCUGCUCGGCAACGAGCUGCACAUCGGCGACGCCAGCGUCAAGUGCUGCCCGCUCGUGCAGGGCAUCGCCGGGCUCACCGCCGUGGCGUGCCUCUGCACCGCCAUCAAGGCCAAGGUGCUCAACCUCGCGCUCUACGUGCCGCUCGCCCUCCAGCUGCUCGUCAACGACUGCGGCUGCGCCGUGCCCCCGGGCUACACCUGCGCCUGA
Molecule: ribosomal RNA, 843 nt
Filed under: Triticum aestivum (bread wheat)
Lineage: Eukaryota; Viridiplantae; Streptophyta; Magnoliopsida; Poales; Poaceae
Description: partial small subunit ribosomal RNA
Source: RNAcentral